Molecule: small nucleolar RNA, 136 nt
Organism: Bombina bombina (fire-bellied toad)
Lineage: Eukaryota; Metazoa; Chordata; Amphibia; Anura; Bombinatoridae
Product: small nucleolar RNA SNORA77
Exons: 1
Source: RefSeq, a predicted model, not a curated record
GCAGACUCACUCUGUGCCCAACUGCAUCCUCCAGUUAAGGUGCUUUUUCUGUCUGCUAAAGAAAAUCCACAAUUAUCCUUUUAGAGCGCUUCUUCUGUUCAGAGGAGGUUUGUCUAGUUAAUUAUGGAACAUAAAU